AAUGCUCGAAUAAAUUAACUCUUACAGUGUUAAUUCCUUCUCUAACAAACCCUAACCCUAACGAGAGAGAUCGGGAAAAUUGCUGCAGGCCACUUUUAUAAAAACCCCGCAUGGCGACGGAGAGCAGAGAGGCUUUAGAAGAAUUUAUUGCAGAUUUGAGAACAACAAAGAUCAAAGCUACGUACCUGAAUCGACGGUACCAGUUUCUUAAAUCUUUCGUUCCAUGGCUCGAACACUGCUUAUCUGGGAUGUUGGUGGAAGAUGGGGAGAGAAGCGAAUCUGCCCCUUUUUUUCAGGUCAACGGCCCUGCUGCGGAGGAGCUUAUUGAUUCGAUUCAUGAAGCUAGAAAGCAACUACAUCGUUUAGAAGAGAAGGCUCGCUCCAAAAUUGCUGAGAUACCAUAUUCCCCUCCUUGGGGAACGGAGAAGGACGACUUCCAGGAUUAUGAAUACAAGACAUGGGAGAUUGUUAAUAUGGCUGAAAAGACGCAGGCUGACACAAUGGAUGGAAUAAGAAACAAAUGUAACGAAAGCCAAGAAUGCAAAAUGGUACUCCCACACUUGUUACUCCUGUUUCAGGACAGCUAUCGUACGUUUAAUAAUAUUUUGUGUCAAGUAAGAGCCCGUAAUGCGAGCAGAAUGAAGCACAUGUGCAUGGAAGAAGAACCUCAGAAGUCACGGGUAUGUCUUAUCAUCAUCCAAAGUGGUAUUCAUUUUCUGCACUGUAGAAGGAAAUAUGAAAAGCUACAUGAAAAAGCGUAUGAUUUAGAAUGUGUGCCUCUCUAUCUUCAAGUGAUACGUGGAGAUGCAUGCAGUCAGUUAUCUGAGUUUGAGGAUAAAUUUGAUUACUUGGUUUAUCAAGCAUUACAUUACAUUUCAAGGUUACAAGAGACGGGUGGAGAACUUUUUGUAAUACGUAUGUCAGAGAACAAUUAUGAGCUUCUGACCUCAAUUGUGGAAGCAAGACUUAAUAUGUAUGACGCUAGACAUGAACUUCAAAAAGACCUUCAACGGAAUGUGGUCCAAUCUUUUCUUUCAUGGAAAAGGGAUCAAGUGUCAGAGCACACGAAGAAUCAUCCAAUACAUGAGUCCCAGUUGAUCAAACAAGCAUUGGAAAUCUACAGAAAGGGGCAGGUGGAAAUCAUUCAGAAAGAAAAGGAAAAGGUCGAGGCAAUAGAAGAUAUUUUAAGAGGACAUGAAGAACGUCCAGGAUUUCAAGAAGCACGGCGCUAUUUAUUGGCUUUUAAGGAGGAGUAUUAUGCAGUGAUUGCUGAAGAGCUACGUCGAGUAAAACUAUGGCUGCAAGUCAAAUACCGGGAAGAUUUGCCAAAACUAGAGAAUCAAGUUGAAGAUGAGAUUAUGGAGGAAUCUGUGCAGAUUAAAUCAGAUUCAUUCAUGCAGAAAGAUAAAGAUGGUUGCCUGGAGGUCCAAGAGGAACUAGAUCUCCAAGUAUCGGAGGAGGCGGCGGCAAUCAUUUUGAAGAGCUUGGACGGGCAACUGGAGUUAUCGUCAUCGACAGCGGAAAUAGUGGCUAAGCAGUCGUUUAAAAUAUGGCACAUGCUGAAGAUGAAUGAAAAAGUUGUGAAAAUUCCUGUUGGAAAGAAGAUUCUUCGUAUGGCAAUCAUCUACUGCAAGAAACAUGGCGAGGCCAAGAGUUUUGCUUUUGAUUAUUUCGUUGACGACUGUGGACACUUUUGUCCGGAUGACCACCCUGAAGAGUUUACUGCUAAUUUAACCAUCGAUGAGGGUUUUGAACAGUGGGAUUCUGAGAUGUUACUGAAGAACGCCGACAAAGCAACAAUUUUUGAGCUCGUAACAGCAGCAGAGCAUCUGUACAUUCAAGGGCUGCUGGAUCUGGUUGGCAGAGCUGCAGCGGACAUGGUAAUUUGGAAGAGUGGAGAGGAGAUUUGUGAGAAAUUCCAUCUCAAAUUCGACUUUACACAAGAAGAACUAGAAGAAGCCGAUGAGGAGAACGAAUCAAUGGGGGGCGUAUCAAUGAGGAAGGUUAAUAUGGAUGGUUUACGUGAUAUGGCUGAUUACCUCACAAGUUCACUAUCCUGAAUAUUAACUCUCUGGUUUGUUCGUUAACAAAUAUAUUAUGACAUGCAUAUUCCUCCUUGAAGGAUAGGUGUAUGUUCAAAGCAAGUCUUGUGACGACCAUACUUUGAACGAUAUCAGUUGCUUUAGGGCUUUUUGUUUUUAGGUCCAUUUGUUUACCUAGCUUUAUCUUUCAACCCAAGUAUUAUUAGUUGUAUCUUUAAACCCAACUUCUUUUUUUAUUAUCUUUAAACCCAAUUUCCUUAUAUAGGGGGACCCACAUAUGAGAGUAUUAUAUUUUGGAAUUAGGUUUCCUGGGACGUCUGGUGCUGUUGUAUACGUUCUGCUAAGUGCUCUGUCGUAUACAUUCUUCUAAGAGCAAUGAAUUGAUGAUGAUCUAUUUGUACUCUUCCUGCUGCAAUGGGUAAUCGUCAGCUUGAUAUU
Asparagus officinalis (garden asparagus) is the source of this 2480-nucleotide RNA transcript. RefSeq lists it as uncharacterized. Lineage: Eukaryota; Viridiplantae; Streptophyta; Magnoliopsida; Asparagales; Asparagaceae. The record is from RefSeq and is a predicted model, not a curated record. The transcript has 15 exons.